Lagenorhynchus albirostris (white-beaked dolphin) is the source of this 1390-nucleotide long non-coding RNA. RefSeq lists it as uncharacterized. The transcript is spliced from 3 exons. Lineage: Eukaryota; Metazoa; Chordata; Mammalia; Artiodactyla; Delphinidae. The record is from RefSeq and is a predicted model, not a curated record.
CUGCAGGUUCGUGAGCUGCUGCUGCUGGUGGGCGAUGGUCUGCUUCACCAGCACGCUCUUGAUGCUCUGCUCCAUGGCGUACUUCUUGGCCUGCGAGAGAAGGUGUUGAGGAGCACUGGGGGGCCUGGCCUGCGGGGAGAUGGGCCUUCCCCCGCCAGCGGCUUCCCCCUGCCGCAGCGCCCCGGGCAGGACACACGCUCUCACCUUCUGGAGGGCCUCUUGCUGCUCAGGCGUCAGGGGAGGCAGUCCCAGCUUUGCGGCUGUGCUCUGCCCGUUCUCCAUCUUGAUGGAGUCUGUCCCCUGGUGAUGGGGAGCAGGGAAGGCAUUAAGGACAAGUUCAAGACCUCCCUCACACGGCCCCAGGAGCCCACCCCACCUCCUUCCCCGACAACCGCACGUGGCCUGCAGCUCAGCCCGCUCCCAGGGGCAGACACGUCCUCACACAGACUGUCUCCCACCUAGCCUGGACGUGGGUCUGCCCACCUGACACCCCUAUGCCUGUCCCAGGCCGGUCUCCUCCAGGAUCCACCGGGAGGACACACACCGAGGCAGACAGACACCUUGGGGGCCCUUGGCCAACCCAGAGCAGCUGCAGGACCCAGGCUUGCAGGAGUCACCCAGACAGGGGGAAGAAAACAGUUGUGUAAGCUGGAAGAGAAGCACGGCCACCAGACCCAGAAGAGCACGUGUGUCGGGAGUUAGAACACACCUGCCUAUCCACCAGUUACUGGGUGGCCAGCAAGCGCUCCAGAGCGGGUAUCUGCAGCACCCAGCAUGAAGCCUCGGGAGGGACAGCAGAGAAGAGAGGCAGGUCGCCAGCACAGGAGUGACGAGCAAGGACAGAGGGUCCAGGCUGCGUGCCAUGGCCCUCCCCCCAGCGUGCUGGGGGCCCAGCCGAACAGCCCCCCAACACUCUGGACGCAGGCGCUGCCGUGGAGAAGCGUGAAGAACCUUCUUACCCGGCUCCCCCUCCCACACUCCCACCGGCUCUGCGACCAGAACUGGCCAAGAUCUCCCACGCCUACCCUGAAGCCCUGCCCCGAGGCCGCCAGACUUGGACUUUGACUUACACACGGUUCUGCUUUCACGUUUUACUUAAGUCAGAGAUCUGAAGUGAAACUGUAUCUCUGGCUCUUAGCAAUACCCUGCACAUUCGGGAACAACACGUUUGCCCUUCUGUAUGACACCGACGUGAAGGGCUCCCACCGGCUGAGGUUCACACCCCACCUGACCACAGCCACCAUCUGCCUGGUGUCUGAAGACACAUGAGGCUUCAACCCACCACAGAAGCAGGGAGGACGCCAAGUAGAGGCAGGGAGGAGGCGGCUACAGCCAGGCUGGAGGCUGGGUGGCGAGCGAGAGGGCAGGACAGAGAAGAGUCCCUCGGGCU